Molecule: ribosomal RNA, 739 nt
Filed under: uncultured bacterium
Lineage: Bacteria
Description: bacterial SSU rRNA
Rfam family: Bacterial small subunit ribosomal RNA
Source: RNAcentral
GGGGGGCAAGUAGAGUGGCGCACGGGUGAGUAACACGUAGGUAAUCUACCUUUGGAUUGGGAAUAACAACCGGAAACGGUUGCUAAUACCGAAUAAUGCAGCGGCACCUAAUGGUGACAGUUGUUAAAGCGGGGGAUCGCAAGACCUCGCGUCUAAAGAGGAGCCUGCGGCGGAUUAGCUAGUUGGUAAGGUAACGGCUUACCAAGGCGAUGAUCCGUAGCCGGCCUGAGAGGGCGGUCGGCCACACUGACACUGACAUACGGGUCAGACUCCUACGGGAGGCAGCAGUCGGGAAUUUUGGGCAAUGGGCGAAAGCCUGACCCAGCAACGCCGCGUGAAGGAUGAAAUCCCUCGGGAUGUAAACUUCGCAAGAACGGGAAGAAUAAGUGAGAGUUAAUAUCUUUCACGAUGACGGUACUGUUUGUAAGCUCCGGCUAACUCCGUGCCAGCAGCCGCGGUAAUACGGGGGGAGCAAGCGUUGUUCGGAUUUACUGGGCGUAAAGGGCGCGUAGGCGGCCACCACAAGUCGACUGUGAAAUCUCCGGGCUUAACCCGGAAAGGCCAGCCGAUACUGCGGGGCUAGAGUGCAGAAGGGGCAACUGGAAUUCUCGGUGUAGCGGUGAAAUGCGUAGAUAUCGAGAGGACACNUGCGGCGAAGGCGGGUUGCUGGGCUGAUACUGACGCUGAUGCGCGAAAGCUAGGGGAGCGAACGGGAUUAGAUACCCCGGUAGUCCUAGCC